UGAGGAACAUGACCUUCGGCGGGGGAUAGCCGGCCCAACGGCCGGGUAAUACCGCGUACGACCGUCUAGGGACAUCCCUGGAUGGUGAAAGCAGCAAUGCGCCGAUGGAGUGCCUCGCGGCCUAUCAGCUAGUUGGUGAGGUAACGGCUCACCAAGGCGACGACGGGUAGCUGGUCUGAGAGGAUGGCCAGCCACAUUGGGACUGAGACACGGCCCAGACUCCUAGGGAGG
This 231-nucleotide ribosomal RNA is filed under the name uncultured bacterium. RNAcentral describes it as "partial 16S ribosomal RNA". It matches the Rfam family "Bacterial small subunit ribosomal RNA", at positions 118 to 348 of the family's 1533-position model. The record is from RNAcentral.